Molecule: ribosomal RNA, 468 nt
Filed under: uncultured bacterium
Lineage: Bacteria
Description: partial 16S ribosomal RNA
Rfam family: Bacterial small subunit ribosomal RNA
Source: RNAcentral
GACGAACGCUGGCGGCGUGCUUAACACAUGCAAGUCGAACGGAAAGGCCCUGCUUUUGUGGGGUGCUCGAGUGGCGAACGGGUGAGUAACACGUGAGUAACCUGCCCUUGACUUUGGGAUAACUUCAGGAAACUGGGGCUAAUACCGGAUAGGAGCUCCUGCUGCAUGGUGGGGGUUGGAAAGUUUCGGCGGUUGGGGCUGGACUCGCGGCUUAUCAGCUUGUUGGUGGGGUAGUGGCUUACCAAGGCUUUGACGGGUAGCCGGCCUGAGAGGGUGACCGGCCACAUUGGGACUGCGAUACGGACCAGACGCCUACGGGAGGCAGCAGUGGGGAAUAUUGCACAAUGGGCGGAAGCCUGAUGCAGCAACGCCGCGUGCGGGAUGACGGCCUUCGGGUUGUAAACCGCUUUCGCCUGUGACGAAGCGUGAGUGACGGUAAUGGGUAAAGAAGCACCGGCUAACUACGUG